RNAcentral lists this ribosomal RNA (719 nucleotides) under uncultured fungus. RNAcentral's name for it is "eukaryotic LSU rRNA". The stretch from base 204 to 357 matches the Rfam family "5.8S ribosomal RNA". Lineage: Eukaryota; Fungi. The record is from RNAcentral.
GCCGCCGCUCGAGGGUUUCGGCUUGGCUGCGCUUGACGCAGNGNNNNNUNGCGUCCCUCCAUUCNUGUCUUCCACGUCCUUGNCNGCAAAUGACGGGUGUUCNUGACCGAACCGCCGGGGGCCUGUCCCCUAGUGUAUGCCCGUCAGUAGCUCAUCAAAAUUCUGAUCAACGUGUCUGUCUUAGUCUAGAAGAAUAACUAUAAAACUUUCAACAACGGAUCUCUUGGUUCUGGCAUCGAUGAAGAACGCAGCGAAAUGCGAUAAGUAAUGCGAAUUGCAGAAUUCCGUGAGUCAUCGAAUCUUUGAACGCACAUUGCGCCCUCUGGUAUUCCGGAGGGCAUGCCUGUCCGAGCGUCAUUAGUCCAUCUCAAGCCCGGCUUGUCGUUGGGUCUCACCGCCCCAAGGCGGUGGGCCCGAAAUUUAAUGACGGGGUCCGACGCCCGUGGAUGCAGCGAGCUUUACAGCACGUGUCCCGACGUCGUCGCGGCCUUGUCUUCAACCUCAUUUUCUCUAGGUUGACCUCGGAUCAGACAGGACUACCCGCUGAACUUAAGCAUAUCAAUAAGCGGAGGAGAAGAAACCAACAGGGAUUGCCUCAGUAACGGCGAGUGAAGCGGCAACAGCUCAAAUUUGAAAUCUGGUUCCUUUACGGGCCCGAGUUGUAAUUUGUAGAGGAUGCUUCGGGCAAGGAUACAGCCUAAUUUGCUUGGAACAGCAGG